GAAGGUCACGGCGAGACGAGCCGUUUAUCAUUACGAUAGGUGUCAAGUGGAAGUGCAGUGAUGUAUGCAGCUGAGGAUGCCUAACAGACCGAUAGACUUGAAC
RNAcentral lists this ribosomal RNA (103 nucleotides) under Stegnosperma cubense. RNAcentral describes it as "4.5S ribosomal RNA". Lineage: Eukaryota; Viridiplantae; Streptophyta; Magnoliopsida; Caryophyllales; Stegnospermataceae. The record is from RNAcentral.